GUGUUGUAUGAAGGAGAGAAAGUUAGUACUCCCCUUUACACUGAUGGAAGAGGCCCCACGGAUGCCAACACAGUAUGGUUAAGGGAUUACUUUGUGGCAUCUAGUUAUCAUUUAGC
Molecule: small nuclear RNA, 116 nt
Organism: Dipodomys ordii (Ord's kangaroo rat)
Lineage: Eukaryota; Metazoa; Chordata; Mammalia; Rodentia; Heteromyidae
Source: Ensembl